CAGCAGCCGCGGUAAUACGAAGGGACCUAGCGUAGUUCGGAAUUACUGGGCUUAAAGAGCUCGUAGGUGGUUAGAAACGUUGGUGGUGAAAUCCCAAGGCUUAACCUUGGAACUGCCACUAAGACUUUUUGACUAGAGUAUGAUAGAGGAAAGUGGAAUUUCUAGUGUAGAGGUGAAAUUCGUAGAUAUUAGAAAGAACACCAAUUGCGAAGGCAACUUUCUGGAUCAUUACUGACACUAAGGAGCGAAAGCAUGGGUAGCGAAGAGGAUUAGAUACCCUCGUAGUCCAUGCCGUAAACGAUGUGUGCUAGACGUUGGAAAUUUAGUUUUCAGUGUCGCAGCGAAAGCGUUAAGCACACCGCCUGGGGAGUACGACCGCAAGGUUAAAACUCAAAUGAAUUGACGGGGACCCGCACAAGUAGUGGAGCAUGUGGUUUAAUUCGAAGAUACGCGCAGAACCUUACCAACACUUGACAUGUUCGUCGCGACUCUAAGAGAUUAGAGUCUUCGGUUCGGCCGGACGAAACACAGGUGCUGCAUGGCUGUCGUCAGCUCGUGUCGUGAGAUGUUGGGUUAAGUCCCGCAACGAGCGCAACCCUUACUUUUAGUUGCUACCAUUAAGUUGGGCACUCUAAAAGAACUGCCGGUGAUAAGCUGGAGGAAGGUGGGGAUGACGUCAAGUCCUCAUGGCCCUUAUGUGUUGGGCUACACACGUGCUACAAUGGUACUUACAGUGAGAAGCGAAGAGGCGACUCUAAGCUAAUCCCUAAAAAGUGCCUCAGUUCGGAUUGUACUCUGCAACUCGAGUACAUGAAGCUGGAAUUACUAGUAAUCGCGGAUCAGCGCGCCGCGGUGAAUACGUUCCCGGGUCUUGCACACACCGCCCG
RNAcentral lists this ribosomal RNA (887 nucleotides) under uncultured bacterium. RNAcentral describes it as "bacterial SSU rRNA". It matches the Rfam family "Bacterial small subunit ribosomal RNA", at positions 509 to 1396 of the family's 1533-position model. The record is from RNAcentral.